Molecule: ribosomal RNA, 661 nt
Filed under: Hepatozoon canis
Lineage: Eukaryota; Apicomplexa; Hepatozoidae
Description: bacterial SSU rRNA
Rfam family: Eukaryotic small subunit ribosomal RNA
Source: RNAcentral
UGAUAAUAUUUUUUACAUGGAUAACCGUGGUAAUUCUACAGCUAAUACAUGAGCAAAAUCUCAACUUUAUUAGAAGAGAAGCAUUUAUUAGAUAAAAAGCCAAUGCAUGCUUUUACAGUAUGAAAAUUGGUGAUUUAUAAUAACUUAGCAAAUCGUAAAGUGAAAACAGACGAUAAAUCAUUCAAGUUUCUGACCUAUCAGCUUUCGACGGUAUGGUAUUGGCUUACCGUGGCAGUGACGGUUAACGGGGGAUUAGGGUUCGAUUCCGGAGAGGGAGCCUGAGAAACGGCUACCACAUCUAAGGAAGGCAGCAGGCGCGCAAAUUACCCAAUUCUAACAGUUUGAGAGAGGUAGUAACAAGAAAUAACAAUACAAGGCAGUUAAAAUGCUUUGUAAUUGGAAUGAUAGAAAUUUAAACCCUUUUUAAAGUAUCAAUUGGAGGGCAAGUCUGGUGCCAGCAGCCGCGGUAAUUCCAGCUCCAAUAGCGUAUAUUAAAAUUGUUGCAGUUAAAAAGCUCGUAGUUGAAGUUCUGCUAAAAGUAACCGGUCUGCUUUUAAUAAAAGUGGUAUCUUGGUAUGUAUUUAGCAAUGAUGUCCUUUGAAGUGUUUUUUACUUUAUUGUAAUAAAGCAUAUUCAGGACUUUUACUUUGAGAAAAUUAGA